UGGUAGAAUUUAAACAAAGCAGAAAAUAGAAGAAAGAUGAGGGCCUAAUGCCCAUACAGCCCUUAGUCUAGGCUCCCAUGGACUCCAGAGGCCUGGCAAGCCCAGCCUUGCCUUGUAAGUGACAUGAGUCCCUGACCCCAAGCUAGUCAGAGGGAAGUGCAGCCAGAAGGGGUGGCUCUAUUUGUCCCUUUCUCCCCCAGGAACACCUGCUCCCCCGGCCAUCAGCCAGAACCCUUGGGAGGCUGGAGUAAUGAAAAGACAGGCGCAAAUCACAGGGGUCUCCAAGGAAGGUGGGAUACUGGUAGGGUCCCAUGAAUGUCUUUAGUGGCUGCGCGGGCUCUGGGAAGGGGAUGCCUAAUACCUCCAACAGUGAGUCCCAGCCUCUCCAUAAGCUCUAUGACAUGUUGACAGGAGGAUCACAUCCCGCUGUCCCUUGGUGGUCAGAGGACUGUUACAUGUAGCUGAUGUGGGCCAUGGAGGCAAGGCCUGUGCUGACUCUCUAGGCCUGUUUUGAUGACCUCAUGUCGAGGAGGUGUGAUCCAGGUAACGUCAAGCAGACGCAGUAAUCAGAGGACCCUGAGGCCUGCUGGUCCAGGAGGUGCCUGAACUCAGCAGCAUCCCAAGUAGUGAGGAGGGGAAGUGAGGAGAGCAGGGUCUCUCUCCCGGAGGCUGACCUUGCCUGAGCUAGAGGAGAGUCGCCAAAGGGACUACCCAUGUGCUGUUGAGCUGGGUCUGUUUAUAAAAACUGGGUGGUUUUACAUUUGACCUUGAAUUUACAUUUGGCCUUAAUAUGGGCCGCAAUGUCCUCCUCUAUGUUUUUUGGUUUUUUUUCACUUCUCCAACAGAUUUAUUUUUGAAAGGAAUGGAUUUUGAGGAGGAAAAACAUGGGGUAGAGAUAUGGAAUAGAAAAUAAAUACAAAUGUAAGCUGUUUUGCUAAUUGUUUUAUAACCACAACAAAUUCGUACAGAGAAUGCCCUGUACAAAACAACACAACAAAGGUUCAAAGAUCGAGAUCGGAACAGCACAUG
This is a long non-coding RNA of Leopardus geoffroyi (Geoffroy's cat), 1029 nucleotides long. RefSeq lists it as uncharacterized. NCBI's taxonomy places the organism in Eukaryota, Metazoa, Chordata, Mammalia, Carnivora, Felidae. The transcript has 3 exons. The record is from RefSeq and is a predicted model, not a curated record.